RNAcentral lists this transfer RNA (84 nucleotides) under Ktedonobacter sp. RNAcentral's name for it is "tRNA-Ser". It matches the Rfam family "tRNA". Rfam says of the family: Transfer RNA (tRNA) molecules are approximately 80 nucleotides in length. Lineage: Bacteria; Bacillati; Chloroflexota; Ktedonobacteria; Ktedonobacterales; Ktedonobacteraceae. The record is from RNAcentral.
GGAGGGAUGGCAGAGUGGUCUAUUGCGACUGUCUUGAAAACAGUUGGGUUCACAGCCCCGGGGGUUCGAAUCCCUCUCCCUCCG